AUGUCACACAGCUGGAAGUGUCUGAGGUCAUAUUUGCACCCAGGACCGACCCCAGGCCUGGUUCUCUGUCCACUGAACCACCUAGCUGCCUCCCAUGUUCUUAAUAAUAAAAAAGCCUGUAUACAACACUUUGAGGUUUGCAAAACACUUUUCAAAGUCACAUUUAAGACUCCCAACAACACUGAGAGGUCCAGCACACUCUCCAUGGGGGCACUGAGCUGCCUUCAGAGCACGCAGAAAACCAAGAUGGAUCCCUUUGGAGAUCAGGUACCCAGCCAUCGAGCUCUGUCAUUUCCAGCUCUCUCUUCCUACACUCAAUUGUCUAAUUCUUCUGUGCAACAUUCAAAAAUCGGAUCAAUCUACAUGUUCUCUGCCCACCAGAGAACACUGCUGAAUUCUCCCAUUUAUCUAUGAGCCAGAAGCAAAGGUUUCUGGGUUCUGAACUACCCUUCAAGGCCUGGCUGCAGUCUGGUGAUCCCCACGAAGGCUUCCUUGACUUAUCUAAGUCCUUAUCCAUCUGCUUUGCCUCCAUGUGUGAUCUUGCAAGCACUUGAAGAUAGCCAGCAAGACCCUCCCUCCCUUGGACUUCUCUUCUUCAGGCUUACCAUGGCCAGCAAUGUCUCAAAGCCCUCAAGCACUUCCUCCUUUGGAUACACUCUGGCUUUUCAUGCCCUGCCUACAAGAUGGUGCCCACACCAAACCCUCCAUUUGGAUGAUUCCGUACAAAAGGAAGCCUUGUUCCCACUGGAUGGACAUAGGACUGGAAAAUCACAGGAAUACACUAAAGUCAUGCCUAGCAAAAUGGACUCUUCUUCCAACUCCCACCUUCAGUCUUAGUAUCAAUACUGUGAAUUGGCUCUAAGGCAGAAGAGUGGUAAGGGCUGGGCAAUGGGGGGUUAAGGGACUUGUCUAGGGUCACACAGCUAGGAAGUACCUGCAUCCAAAUUUGAAUCCAGGACCUCCCAUCUCUGGCCUUGGCUCUUUAUCCACUGAACCACCUAACUUUCCCCUAGAAUCCUUUUUUUAGAAGAAAUAAAAAGGUUUUAAGAAGGUUUCA
RNAcentral lists this long non-coding RNA (1057 nucleotides) under Monodelphis domestica (gray short-tailed opossum). RNAcentral's name for it is "lncRNA (ENSMODG00000049196.1)". The record is from RNAcentral. Lineage: Eukaryota; Metazoa; Chordata; Mammalia; Didelphimorphia; Didelphidae.